AUGAUGGCUCCCGAGAGGAACGGGGCUGCUCGGCUGCUCAGAGGAGAGCCCCGUUCUCCUUCCGCAGGGCGCAGAGGAGGCAGCUGGGUAAGGCAGCAAAGAGGUUGCUCAAGCCCAGCUGUUGCUCAACGCUCGCUGCCAACGGCCCACGGCCAGAGCGAUGGAGACGGGAAUUCUGCAACACCUGGGGGGCCACAGGGCCGAACCCAAAGAAGUGCUACCCUCCCGCAGCGUCCUGGAACAAUGAGUCAGUCCAAGUCUGAGCGCCAAGCCUGGGAUAAAGACUCCCCUGCCUUCAGGGCCUCUCUCUGGCACCAAUCUCCAUUCCGGUUCCUCUUGCCCGCAGGGAAGGCUGGCUUCUGCGCCCCGUCCCCCAAUGGGCUGUAUGAGCCCCCCUGCACGGUGCACUGCGAGGCAGACAGCGAGUGUCCUGCAGAUGGAAAGUGCUGCGAAUUUGCCUGCAGCUACACGUGCCGGCCGCCCAUNAAAGAGAAGCCCGGGUCCUGUCCACUCCCCCUGAUGAAGAAACUGCACGCUCCCCUAACGUGUGAAUGUGCCUGCACGGAGGACGCCGACUGCCAGGGGACGGAGAAGUGCUGCGGAACGGGCUGCGGGGGCCAAAUAUGCCGGCUGCCCCUGAAAGAUAAGCCUGGCAAAUGCCCCAGGAAGCAGCGGGUGCGGCCGCCCCGGGGGGAGCCUGCCAAGGACACCUGUGCCCAUGAUGCGGAGUGCCCCGGCCUAGAGAAGUGCUGCUUCACGGGCUUCUCCAUGAACUGCAGCCCUGUUUAGCAAGGUACCCGAGCAGGAAGCAGCAGGCAGGCUGAGAUGUGGGCAGAGCCGCAGCACCGGCUGGAGGGCACUGCUAGGGCCCACUGAAGCUGGGCAGCCCGCGGGCAUCGGCCUUGCUCCCGUCACCUGCCUCGCUUGGCCCCCUGCUCCUGCCAGGAUGCUCAGCAGCAGAGGCGGCGCCCUCUGCUCAAACCGCCUUCGCUGCCCCCGAUCCCCUAAAGAACAGGGAGCCCCCUCCAGUUCUCCUCCCCAGCUGUGAGGGAAGCCUGUGGGGUGAGCUGGGGAGGCUGUGUGGGGUGGUUCUCUAAGGCACAUCCUCCAGCCUCCCCCUGCCCAGAGAGAGGGCUGUGCUCCAGCUGCUGACCCGAUGGCUUCACGCUGAGGUGGCACCUCUGGAACACGGCCAGGGACAAAUGGGCAGGAGCAAAGCUGCCAAACUGCACAGUGGGGAGGGGGCGCUGUAGAGCCAUUGGCAGCCAUUUGGCGGACCAGGGAGAGGACUCUGCAGCUCUAACUGAAGGCUUUGUUUUUAUCUCUUCCAAAGUCCUCCGCAUGCAGCAUCUCAGAAAAGGAGGUCAGUUUUGCCCUUGGGCUGGGAGGUGCACGGUCUCUAGCAGGACAGUGUGAGCUCUUCCACCCGCCUGGGCGCAGCUAAGAGAGCCGUUGCUUCCUGCAGAGCUGCAGGGCCGACCUCCUCGCUUGCUUCUUCCAGGCCUCCUCUGAGCAAAUCCGCCUCUGCCACCUUUCACGCGCAGGCAGCAAGCCUCCCUGGGCCGGAAGGGGAGCUUCCUGAUCUUGCAGCUGGUGCAGACCCAACAGCGCACUGAGGAGCCCAAAGCACAGGGCAGGGCAGAUCCUGGCAGACAAAGGUUCAAAGAACAUAAGAACCUAAGAGGGGACCUGCUGGAUCANGCCACAGCCCAUCUAGUCCAGCAUCCCGUCUCACCCAAUGGCCCACCAGUUGAGUCAGGGCAUCUCAAGCAGAAGACAAAGGCAGAAC
Molecule: long non-coding RNA, 1789 nt
Organism: Salvator merianae (Argentine black and white tegu)
Lineage: Eukaryota; Metazoa; Chordata; Lepidosauria; Squamata; Teiidae
Source: Ensembl